UACGUAGGGGGCAAGCGUUAUCCGGAUUUACUGGGUGUAAAGGGAGCGUAGGUGGCAUGGUAAGCCAGGAGUGAAAACCCGGGGCUCAACCCCGCGGAUUGCUUUUGGAACUAUCAGGCUGGAGUGCUGGAGGGGUAAGCGGAAUUCCUAGUGUAGCGGUGAAAUGCGUAGAUAUUAGGAGGAACACCGGUGGCGAAGGCGGCUUACUGGACAGAAACUGACACUGAGGCUCGAAAGCGUGGGGAGCAAACAGG
This 254-nucleotide ribosomal RNA is filed under the name uncultured bacterium. Its description in RNAcentral is "partial 16S ribosomal RNA". It matches the Rfam family "Bacterial small subunit ribosomal RNA", at positions 524 to 776 of the family's 1533-position model. The record is from RNAcentral.